AUAUUUUGUGUAUUUACUUUUAUAUAUAUACUGUUGAUCUAGUAUUUAUAUUUGUUUUAUGAGUUUUCCAAAUUUUUAUUUUGGUAAUUCCUAUUUCAGUCAGCAGGGUAACUUGAUGAGUUGCAUAUUACAAUAUUGUUCAAAGUAUUAUGUGCAUUCAACUUAGACUUUGUAGAUGUGUUCCCCUUACACUUAAUAUUGCUUUUUCACUGAUCAUUCACUUCCUCGCAAUAAUUAGAUAAAUCUACCAAUUGAAGUUGCUCUAUGGGAUAAAUGAUCUGUAUUCCAGUCCUGAAUAUCUACUGUUGUAGUUAACAUUCCGUUAAAUGCAAAGUUACAAUAGUAGUUAUUGUACACAUUUGUCUUUCUGUCGAUUUAUUAUUUCUGUAACGGGUUAAGAUUUUAAUUUUAGGUCCCAUCAACUUGACACUUUGCACACAUAUUCAUUAUGAAGCAGAUAAUCUAAAGUGUAUGCCAAAUUACAGUUUUGACUUAGAACUUGAAGUUCACUUAACAUAGAAAUGUGAUAGUGCAAACAUGGCAUGACACAUAUGGACAUAUUCUAGUUCUUUCAUAAAUUCCAAACCUGUAUCCCAUGGUUUUGAUGAAAUUAGAAAGCUCAUUUUAUUUUUCAAACUCAGGGAAUACUUAUCAUUUUUGUUUGCCAUUUGUUAAAGAUAUUUAAAACGCACUUUAAGACAUAAUGAAUUAAGCACAUUUGCAUAUUAUAGAAUACUGAAUAUGGCACACUUGCACUUUGUAAAAAAAAAUCCAGUGUGGUCAGUGUUAUUAUAUAUGAUCUCUUUCAAAGUACAAACUGUAAAUGCACCAGAAGUUUAUUAACUUUUUAAAACAAAUUCCAAAAUGAACAGCUGUGCCUCCUAUGAAGCUCUGGUUUUAAUUUAGUCAAUUCUGCUAACAUCUGAGGACUUUUGUAGUGUAUUCCAGUCAUAAUAUUUUCUAAUGAUAUUUUAUGUCAAUCUGUCUCAAUUUUGUAUAUAACCUAAUAUUUAACAGAUAUACUUUAGUAAAAAGUUAAUGUGCAUUAUGUUUUUAUUCUUCUAUAAUUGUCAAUCCCCCCCUCUACAGUAAAGUAGUGGAUCUUAAGUGAAUAUUUGUUAUAUAAAAGGGGGAAUACAGUAAAUAUUGUACAGAGAAGAAAUUGAAAUAGAAGGAUUAUUAUAUUAAUUAUAUUAUUACAAGAAUUUAUUAUAAAAAUAAAUAAAAAAAGAAUGGGUCUGAUUCUGGACCCCAUCCCUCUCUCAGUACCAACACUUUAUACUAGUAUAUAAACCUACUGGUAACCUUAAUAAAACCACAACAAUUAUAUCUGCUGUUCAAGAAUUGAAGCAUAAUUGUUUUAUAUCUGUUGUAUAAUAGUCGUUUUAGUUGUUUUGUAAUAGGUAAAUAUGCUAUCAUUUCAGAUGAAUCAUUUUUACAGUGAUCUAGUUUUCUAGUUAGCAAAUUAUAAAUAAAUUGUUUGUCUUAAAUUCUUACGGGAGAUAUAGGUUUCGAUAUCAAAGUGAGAAUUUUGUUUUGAAAGUUUUUGUUGUUCAUAAUCUGAUUUAUCAUAAAAAUACUCUUAUUUAUUUGAUGAAUAUGUUUAGUUAAUUAAUUUGAAAAAAAGUUUGAGUUUGUUUUGAAUGAUAAUAUAAACAGUGAUAUUACUGUACAGUUAAUCAUAAAAAGGGAUAACUUUUUUAUCAUGUUGUCAUAUUCACUGUGCAAAAGAAAAUAUGAACAUUCACAGAAUUGGAAAAUGUCCCUUUAUCAGAAAUAUUGAGGGCCUUAGUGGCUCAGUGUUCUAGUUAGUUCAAAUACUGUAUCACAAGAAGAUAAAAGGAUAUGGAGUAAAUGUACAUUGGACAAAAUCACAAACAGUACAUAGAAAAAAUAAAAAAAAAGCUAUCAAUGAGCAGGGCUUUUGUUCCUUCACCAAUAAAAAUUGAUCACCACAAAAUAGCCUAUAGUACUGAAACUAGCAUUAAACAAUUAUCAACCAACCACUAUAUCAAAACAUAUUUAGGCUAAUUGAAUUUAUAAAAUAGAGAUUUUAGAAAAUCCCUCAAUUUUUCUAUUUCAUUUGCCUGUAAAGAGUCUAAAUUAACAGUCACUAUCUAGACAUUUCAUCAUUUGUCAGUUAUUUUGCUACUUAUGUGCAAGAUCAUGCCAUUUGAAAAAAAGA
RNAcentral lists this long non-coding RNA (2185 nucleotides) under Mytilus galloprovincialis (Mediterranean mussel). The record is from RNAcentral. Lineage: Eukaryota; Metazoa; Mollusca; Bivalvia; Mytilida; Mytilidae.